RNAcentral lists this ribosomal RNA (252 nucleotides) under uncultured bacterium. Its description in RNAcentral is "partial 16S ribosomal RNA". It matches the Rfam family "Bacterial small subunit ribosomal RNA", at positions 524 to 776 of the family's 1533-position model. The record is from RNAcentral.
UACGUAGGGUGCGAGCGUUGUCCGGAAUUAUUGGGCGUAAAGGGUACGUAGGCGGUUUAGAGAGCCAGGUGUUAAAGCGUGAGGCUCAACCUCAUAAAGCAUUUGAAACUUCUAGACUUGAGUAGUGGAGAGGAAAGUGGAAUUCCUAGUGUAGUGGUGAAAUACGUAGAUAUUAGGAGGAAUACCAGUAGCGAAGGCGACUUUCUGGACACAAACUGACGCUGAGGUACGAAAGCGUGGGGAGCAAACAGG